CUACGGGAUGCAGCAGUGGGGAAUAUUGGGCAAUGGGCGCAAGCCUGACCCAGCAACGCCGCGUGAGGGAAGAAGGUUUUCGGAUUGUAAACCUCUGUCCUUGGGGACGAAGAAGUGACGGUACCCAAGGAGGAAGCUCCGGCCAACUACGUGCCAGCAGCCGCGGUAAUACGUAGGGAGCAAGCGUUGUCCGGAAUUACUGGGCGUAAAGGGUGCGUAGGCGGCAUAUUAAGUCAGGUGUGAAAUACUCGGGCUCAACCCGGGGGCUGCAUUUGAAACUGAUAUGCUUGAGUGUGAGAGAGGAAAGUGGAAUUCCUAGUGUAGCGGUGGAAUGCGUAGAUAUUAGGAGGAACACCAGUGGCGAAGGCGACUUUCUGGCUCAUAACUGACGCUGAGGCACGAAAGCGUGGGGAGCAAACAGGAUUAGAUACCCGUGUAGUC
Molecule: ribosomal RNA, 441 nt
Filed under: uncultured bacterium
Lineage: Bacteria
Description: partial 16S ribosomal RNA
Rfam family: Bacterial small subunit ribosomal RNA
Source: RNAcentral